UGGGGUGUGGCUCAGCGGUAAAGCACUUGCUUCCCAUGUAUGAGGCCCUGGGUUUAAUUCUCAGCACCACAU
This 72-nucleotide transfer RNA is filed under the name Marmota monax (woodchuck). It matches the Rfam family "tRNA". From Rfam's summary of the family: Transfer RNA (tRNA) molecules are approximately 80 nucleotides in length. The record is from Rfam by way of RNAcentral. Lineage: Eukaryota; Metazoa; Chordata; Mammalia; Rodentia; Sciuridae.